UUCUAGACCUAAACUAAGACAAAGAGAACGGCUGCAAUCAUCUUUGGAGAUCCAAAAUUCCUAUGCCUCUAACAUAUUGGCCGCUCCUUUGAAAUUUGUCAUCUCCCUUUUACUGCUUUCUAUUUUUUUUUUUCUAUACAUGUAUUUGCUUUCCUAAUAAUUCUCAAAUUCUUUCAUCUAGCUUUUCUCAGAAUAUAAACCACUAAAAUAAGAAAAGGAUUUUUCUCGAACUCAAAAGAGAAAGAGCAGUAGCUUGCACACCUUUCUCUAUGAGACUUAGUUCAUCUAACAGUAAUACUAUAAACUAUUGGAUGAAAUAUUUAGAGGUUUUAUGAGUCCAAAAGACAACGCUUGAAUGUUGAUUCCUUUUGCUUGGAUGAUCACAUUUUCCCAGGAUUUUAGGGAUGGCUUCAUCAAAUCUAUGCGGACAUGCUAUGGAGUUGUGUUUUCUGCUUCUCAUCCUUCAACCCUCCAAAUUCCAUAGAGUUAUGUUAAUAGAAGCGUAAGUUGGACGUUGAAGUGUGCAAAAUUGGGUUCGAUUUAGGAAAUUAGAUCCUCCAUUGGCUUGCAUUCCACGCUUGAUAACGAGUCCAUUUCUAGUUCGAGUGCUUGUUGCCGAUCGAGGUUCCGGUUUGUAAUUUUGGUGUUUCGAUCCAAGUAUUGUUGUUUUCUUUAGCCUGAUUGACUUGCAAUUUUCAGCAUCGUUCAUCAAUAAAAGGUCAAUUUCUCAAUUUUCAUUUUCAUUUUCUUGUGUUACAAUAGCUUGGUGUGUGUUGGAUUGAU
RNAcentral lists this long non-coding RNA (783 nucleotides) under Nicotiana benthamiana. RNAcentral's name for it is "long non-coding RNA (NBEN_LNC023456)". Lineage: Eukaryota; Viridiplantae; Streptophyta; Magnoliopsida; Solanales; Solanaceae. The record is from RNAcentral.